RNAcentral lists this ribosomal RNA (119 nucleotides) under Helianthus annuus (common sunflower). Lineage: Eukaryota; Viridiplantae; Streptophyta; Magnoliopsida; Asterales; Asteraceae. The record is from RNAcentral.
GGCUGCGAUCAUACCAGCACUAAUGCAACGGAUCCCAUCAGAACUCCGCAGUUAAGCGUGCUUGGGCGAGAGUAGUACUAGGAUGGGUGACCCCCUGGGAAGUCCUCGUGUUGCAACGC